GAGAAAGUAUGCAAGAACUGCUAAUUCAUGCCUCCGUGCCUAACGAACACGGCUCUCUCA
This 60-nucleotide transfer RNA is filed under the name Haringtonhippus francisci. RNAcentral describes it as "tRNA-Ser". The record is from RNAcentral. Lineage: Eukaryota; Metazoa; Chordata; Mammalia; Perissodactyla; Equidae.